UGAGGAGGACUCCGUCCCGGCAGGGAGGCAUGAUGGUGGAAGCGUGCACUGCUAAUCACACUGCACCUACAAGUGCAAAACAGAGAGAGGGACGCUGCUGCCGAGCCAGCCUUCCUCUUUUCUAGUGCAAACCCCUAGCCCAUGAAAUGCUGCUACCCACUUUCAUGGUAUGCCUUCCCUCCUCAGUUAAGACUUUCUGGAAACCAUAGACACACUUGGAGGUGUGUUUCCAUGGUGAUUCUAAAUAAAGUCAGGCUGACAAUGAAGAUGUACCAUCGAGGGAAACCUCCUCUCCAGGUCCUCCUUUCCCAUGGAGUUUUGAAACCAGUUACACUCCUGGGAAGCUUUGCCCAGAGCACGGGCAGUGACUAGGUCCACGGUGGUUGUGUCUUGCAUUCUACUUGGAGAAACUGCACACAGGUUUUCAAAAUCCUUCUGCUCUACUCUUUGGUCCCAUGUUUUGCCAUCAGUCUGGACAAAGGCAGUCAGCAUCAACUAUGCCUCAGCCUGGACAGCACCCUGCCCUGAAAUCUCUUUCACAAUAUUAAUGAGUCCAUAAUCUUUUAAUUUGGCCUCCUACAGAAUCUCAAGGCAUGAACAAACUGCCGUGAGCACCGUGGCAGAAGGGUGUGGCAGAAGAGCAGGCUGAAGAGGAUGGUGCAAGAACAGGAAGGGACAAAGCUGCUGACAGCCAAGGGAUACGGGGGAGACAAGGGAAGAGUGGAACAAGUGAGCCCUGGAGACUUCCAUGUGUCGAGGAACAGUGCCCUCUGCUGUUCAUGAAGAGUAACUGCACUGUGGUCAAACUGAGGGCCUCCCUGCUGCAAUAGCGCGCCAUGCUGCCCAGCUGUUUGCUGUGAUGGAGAAGUGUCUAGGUCUCAGCUACAAGCUGCAGCAGCUCUCUCCUCAUGCUGCAGGCAGCCUCUCACUUUUUCUAUGCUGCUUAUGAGCCCUGCCUCAACUUCACAGCAAGCAUUCAGACAAGGGCAACAGGAACGCAGGAACUGAAACAACUCUUUGGGAAUUUAGGUAUGUAGAGGUGUUGCCUAAACAGCCCAGCUAACAGCAGUUUAGGUACUAAAUUUGCGUCCGACUACAGAAAUAAGUGGUUUAAAACUGCCUUUCAUUCAAUUGAAUUGUCUCUAGGGGUUGGCAUUUGGGCGGAGUGUGGGAAAGUGACUGUAGGACGGCUUGCUUAGGUGAUUUUUCUAGACCCUUUGGGUUGCAAGGGUCCUAAAAGGAAGAAAUCUUGACUGCAGGAGAGAGGGCACUCUCCAGAGAACAGGCUGGCUUCAGUCACCACAAGUUUUCCUGGAGAGGAGUGCCUUGAGCUCAGCACUGAGACCCUGAGCAGGCUGCCUCCUCAGUGCCGGGUCCUGACGGACGGACUCAGCUGCCUUUGCAGAACACGCAAGUGGAUGGGGUCUUGAGCCGCCUCUAAGCUUUCCAGAGCAGGCCUGCCUGAUUUCUCUCCCCCACUCGUUAUCAUUAACAUUGCUUUCUAUUAGCCAGCGGGUCUUCGUUUAAUAAAUGAUCCCUGCAUCUUGUGUGGGCUCACUUCUCAACAGUGACAUCGUGUGGUUUCAAGGAGCAAUAGCAGUGGGCUGAGCUAGCUCUUACCAGGAAUGUCAGAGCUGACAGGGGUUCUGAGGGUAGGAA
Molecule: long non-coding RNA, 1659 nt
Organism: Mus musculus (house mouse)
Lineage: Eukaryota; Metazoa; Chordata; Mammalia; Rodentia; Muridae
Product: predicted gene, 46758
Exons: 6
Source: RefSeq, a predicted model, not a curated record